UAAUUGAAGAGUUUGAUCAUGGCUCAGAUUGAACGCUAGCGGUAAGCCUUACACAUGCAAGUCGAGCGGCAUCGAAAAAUAGUUUUUUAUAUUUUGUCGGCAAGCGGCGAACGGGUGAGUAAAGCAUGGGAAUCUGCAUAAUAGAGGGGGAUAACGUGUGGAAACGCACGCUAAUACCGCAUACGUCCUAUGGGAGAAAGAAGGGUAUAUAAUACCUUUUGCUAUUAGAUGAGCCCAUGUCGGAUUAGCUAGUUGGUAGAGUAAUAGCCUACCAAGGCAAUGAUCCGUAGCUGAUCUGAGAGGAUGAUCAGCCACACUGGGACUGAGACACGGCCCAGACUCUUACGGGAGGCAGCAGUGAGGAAUCUUGGACAAUGGGCGAAAGCCUGAUCCAGCUAUAUCGCGUGUGCGAUGAAGACCUUAGGGUUGUAAAGCACUUUCAGUAGUAAAUAAAACCUUGUAAUUAAUACCUAUAAGGCUAGACAUUAGCUACAGAAGAAGCACCGGCUAACUUCGUGCCAGCAGCCGCGGUAAUACGGGGGGUGCAAGCGUUAAUCGGAAUUACUGGGCGUAAAGGGCGUGUAGGCGGUUUUUUAAGCCAGAUGUGAAAUCCUUGGGCUUAACCUAAGAAUUGCAUUUGGAACUGAAUGACUAGAGUACAGGAGAGGAAGAUAGAAUUCCAGGUGUAGCGGUGAAAUGCGUAGAUAUCUGGAGGAAUACCAGUGGCGAAGGCGAUCUUCUGGCCUGAUACUGACGCUAAGGCGCGAAAGCAUGGGUAUCAAACAGGAUUAGAUACCCUGGUAGUCCAUGCUGUAAACGAUGUUGACUAGUCGUUAAGAAAUAAAAUUUCUUAGUGACUAAGCUAACGCAUUAAGUCAACCGCCUGGGGAGUACGGCCGCAAGGCUAAAACUCAAAUGAAUUGACGGGGGCCUGCACAAGCGGUGGAGCAUGUGGUUUAAUUCGAUGCUAAGCGAAAAACCUUACCUACCAUUGACAUCUAGCGAAUUUAUCAGAGAUGAAAAAGUGCUCAAUAUUUUAUUGAGAAUGCUAAGACAAGUGCUGCAUGGCUGUCGUCAGCUCGUGUUGUGAAAUGUUGGGUUAAGUCCCGUAACGAGCGCAACCCCUGUUCUUAUUUGCCAGCGAUUAGGUCGGGAACUUUAAGAAGACUGCCAGUUAUAAAUUGGAGGAAGGUGGGGACGACGUCAAGUCAUCAUGGCCUUUAUAGGUAGGGCUACACACGUGCUACAAUGGCAAGUACAAAAGGUUGCAAAUCGGCAACGAGAAGCUAAUCCAAUAAAGCUUGUCUCAGUUCGGAUUGGAGUCUGCAACUCGACUCUAUGAAGUAGGAAUCGCUAGUAAUCGUGAAUCAGCAUGUCACGGUGAAUACGUUCUCAGGCCUUGUACACACCGCCCGUCACACCAUGGGAGUGAAUUGUACCAUAAGUGACUAGUUUAACCGUAAGGAUGACGGUCAUCACGGUGGGAUUCAUGACUGGGGUGAAGUCGUAACAAGGUAGCCGUAGGGGAACCUGUGGCUGGAUUACCUCCUUA
This is a ribosomal RNA of 1552 nucleotides. It matches the Rfam family "Bacterial small subunit ribosomal RNA". The record is from Rfam.